GACGAACGCUGGCGGCGUGCUUAACACAUGCAAGUCGAACGGAAAGGCCCUGCUUUUGUGGGGUGCUCGAGUGGCGAACGGGUGAGUAACACGUGAAUAACCUGCCCUUGACUUUGGGAUAACUUCAGGAAACUGGGGCUAAUACCGGAUAGGAGCUCCUGCCGCAUGGUGGGGGUUGGAAAGUUUCGGCGGUUGGGGAUGGACUCGCGGCUUAUCAGCUUGUUGGUGGGGUAGUGGCUUACCAAGGCUUUGACGGGUAGCCGGCCUGAGAGGGUGACCGGCCACAUUGGGACUGAGAUACGGCCCAGACUCCUACGGGAGGCAGCAGUGGGGAAUAUUGCACAAUGGGCGGAAGCCUGAUGCAGCAACGCCGCGUGCGGGAUGACGGCCUUCGGGUUGUAAACCGCUUUCGCCUGUGACGAAGCGUGAGUGACGGUAAUGGGUAAAGAAGCACCGGCUAACUACGUG
This 468-nucleotide ribosomal RNA is filed under the name uncultured bacterium. RNAcentral describes it as "partial 16S ribosomal RNA". It matches the Rfam family "Bacterial small subunit ribosomal RNA", at positions 28 to 507 of the family's 1533-position model. The record is from RNAcentral.